Molecule: ribosomal RNA, 301 nt
Filed under: uncultured bacterium
Lineage: Bacteria
Description: partial 16S ribosomal RNA
Rfam family: Bacterial small subunit ribosomal RNA
Source: RNAcentral
CAGUAGCCACGGGAAUACGUAGGUGGCAAGCGUUAUCCGGAAUUAUUGGGCGUAAAGCGCGCGUAGGCGGUUUUUUAAGUCUGAUGUGAAAGCCCACGGCUCAACCGUGGAGGGUCAUUGGAAACUGGAAAACUUGAGUGCAGAAGAGGAAAGUGGAAUUCCAUGUGUAGCGGUGAAAUGCGCAGAGAUAUGGAGGAACACCAGUGGCGAAGGCGACUUUCUGGUCUGUAACUGACGCUGAUGUGCGAAAGCGUGGGGAUCAAACAGGAUUAGAUACCCGGGUAGUCCCUGUCUCUUAUAC